GAUGAACGCUGGCGGCGUGCCUAAUACAUGCAAGUCGAGCGAACAGACGAGGAGCUUGCUCCUCUGACGUUAGCGGCGGACGGGUGAGUAACACGUGGAUAACCUACCUAUAAGACUGGGAUAACUUCGGGAAACCGGAGCUAAUACCGGAUAAUAUAUUGAACCGCAUGGUUCAAUAGUGAAAGACGGUUUUGCUGUCACUUAUAGAUGGAUCCGCGCCGCAUUAGCUAGUUGGUAAGGUAACGGCUUACCAAGGCAACGAUGCGUAGCCGACCUGAGAGGGUGAUUGGCCACACUGGAACUGAGACACGGUCCAGACUCCUACGGGAGGCAGCAGUAGGGAAUCUUCCGCAAUGGGCGAAAGCUUGACGGAGCAACGCCGCGUGAGUGAUGAAGGUCUUCGGAUCGUAAAACUCUGUUAUUAGGGAAGAACAAAUGUGUAAGUAACUAUGCACGUCUUGACGGUACCUAAUCAGAAAGCCACGGCUAACUACGUG
RNAcentral lists this ribosomal RNA (497 nucleotides) under uncultured bacterium. Its description in RNAcentral is "partial 16S ribosomal RNA". It matches the Rfam family "Bacterial small subunit ribosomal RNA", at positions 28 to 507 of the family's 1533-position model. The record is from RNAcentral.